AAGUGUUCCUCAUCCGCAAGAGCGCGCGCAGGACGAGCCAUCGGGGCGUGGACGAAUCGCCGAAGCAGAGCAAAGAAGCCGUCAUUUAUCGCCAUCCACGCGGGUGCACCCUCGAUACGCUCCGACAGAGAAGAGGCGUUGGCGCGACCGCGGAGUCAGUCGCCAGCGUGCGCACGCGCCGUUCGACCCUCCUGUUUCCAUCGCUGCUGCUCCUGCUGCGUACCUUGUCCGCGUUUCGGUUGCCACUCAUCUUUGGCGGGAGUUUGAUCUUCGAUAUUUUCGCUGCGGUUCUCUCCUGUCGAGGAGGGACGGAGGGAAUCGCUGCCGAUUAAGACACACACACACACACACACACGUACGCGUGUGCGGGGUGGCAACAUGUCCGCUAAUGACUCCCUGGGGCUGCUGAGAGAGGAGCAGCGCCGGCGCUUCGAGGCCGCCAAGAGAGAAGGCAACACACCAGAGGUGCGCAAGUGCGACGCGUGCCAGCAGCCCACCUACUCCGCCAACGUGUGCCCUGCCUCAGGGCUCUUCCACGACCUCGACAAGAAGAAGCUUAUCGGCGGCUCUGUCGUCACCUCCAACGUCAUCUCGUCGUCACAGCUCAUGGCGGCCAUUGACCAGACACGCGUGAAGUGGGUGCCCAGUCGCACGCAACUGGUGAAGGUGGACGCACAGUCCAUCAACAUCUUCCAGAGCUUCGUGGCUCAGAUGGAUUGGAAGCUGCAGCGCUACGCCAUCCUCUACGGCCUCUACGAUGACGCCACGCACACGAUCGAAGUGCACGCCGUCUACGAGCCGGAGCAGCACGGCAGCACCUACACCUUCGAGCCCCUCCCGGACGCGCACUUGGACAAGGUAGAGAAGAUCGCCAAGGCACUGGGUCUGCGGCGCGUCGGGGUGGCGUGUACGCAUCCGAUGCGCGACCCGGAGCACAUCUUGCUGAACUUCCGCGAGCUGCUGCUGUGCGCCAAGGAGCAGUCUCGCUACGGUGACGAGUGCGCCUUGCUCACCGUGGCACCGGCAGCCAUGCCAUCGACGAAGAGCGGAGGCACGACAAGCGCGCCGGGUGAGCUCCCCACCGGCUCCGCGGCGGCGUCGAGCGGUCCAACACUAGAGCCGACCAUCGUCGUCUCCUGCCAAGCCUGGCAGACGUCGCCGCAGUGCGUCCACCUUUACCGUCUUGGGGUGCUGCAGGAGUCCUCGGGUGGCGAGGCGGCGCUGCAGGACGUGGAGCAGGCGCGGCAGGUGCAUUGCACAAUGGCGUUGGAGGUGGCCCAGACGGACACCGACCCACGCGGGCACCAGCGCUUUGUCACGAAGGCGCCGAGCACCGAGAUCGAUACGCGCUGGUUCACGAGCUACAUCGCAGUGCAGCAGUUCGAGUCGCCCAUCGUCCGUGGAGCCUUCAUGCGACUCUCGCGGCCAGGCAUGCCGCCGCCGGUUCUGCAGAACCUGCGCAACUACAUCCGCGAUCCAAAGCGGAAGAGCAUGUCAUUUGCCGAGACGAUCGCCGACUUCCACGUGCUCGUGUACCUCCUGACGCAGAUCUUCACCUCUGACGACGAGCUUCGCGCCCUGUGCUCCGUGGCGCGCACCAAGAUGAUGACGGAGGAGGCGGCCAACUACCAGGCCAUCCUGCUGGGGAUGAUGUCUGCGUAAGAGGGUGGAGAGAGGAGAACGCGCAUUCAUGUGUGUGUGUGUGUGUGUGUGUGUUUGCGCCUCAAAGGGCUCAGAGGUGUCUUUCCACGCGCGGGACAGACCUCAUCUCUUCUCUGCUUCGAAGAAAUGCGGCUCCCCGUCUCUUCAGUAUCGCAGGCGUUUUCUUCUCUGUGUGUCGCAAGCAGAGGCAUUGAUGCUUCUUUACCCCCUCUCACCAUUGCACGCGCUGAGGCCGUGUAGCGUGUGUGUGCCGUUGUUUCUCUACUGUGGGCUUGUCAUUCUGCGUGUGGUGAUGUCAUGCUUCACGCAUGCGCAUGUGCGGGCGUCUACGUGCGUUGCUCGCUCGCUCUCUCAGAAUCUGCAGAAGCAAGAGUGAUACGGCAAGCGCAGAGGGGACAGCCGCCCCGAUGCAGGAGCCAUACAGAAACGGCUAAUAGAGAAGUGCUCGACGCGGCAGGUAGCAACGGGUGCGCGAUCUGUAUUCAAG
This 2149-nucleotide unclassified non-coding RNA is filed under the name Leishmania donovani. RNAcentral's name for it is "gene:LdHU3.25.1650(CDS-product:NPL4_family_putati ve)". The record is from RNAcentral. Lineage: Eukaryota; Euglenozoa; Kinetoplastea; Trypanosomatida; Trypanosomatidae.